This 463-nucleotide ribosomal RNA is filed under the name Rhodella violacea. Its description in RNAcentral is "partial Bacterial small subunit ribosomal RNA". It matches the Rfam family "Bacterial small subunit ribosomal RNA", at positions 340 to 793 of the family's 1533-position model. Lineage: Eukaryota; Rhodophyta; Rhodellophyceae; Rhodellales; Rhodellaceae. The record is from RNAcentral.
UACGGGAGGCAGCAGUAGGGAAUCUUCGGCAAUGGACGGAAGUCUGACCGAGCAACGCCGCGUGAGUGAAGAAGGUUUUCGGAUCGUAAAGCUCUGUUGUAAGAGAAGAACGAGUGUGAGAGUGGAAAGUUCACACUGUGACGGUAUCUUACCAGAAAGGGACGGCUAACUACGUGCCAGCAGCCGCGGUAAUACGUAGGGUGCGAGCGUUGUCCGGAAUUACUGGGCGUAAAGAGCUCGUAGGUGGUUUGUCGCGUCGUCUGUGAAAUUCCGGGGCUUAACUUCGGGCGUGCAGGCGAUACGGGCAUAACUUGAGUGCUGUAGGGGAGACUGGAAUUCCUGGUGUAGCGGUGGAAUGCGCAGAUAUCAGGAGGAACACCGAUGGCGAAGGCAGUUCUCUGGGCCGUUACUGACGCUGAGGAGCGAAAGCGUGGGGAGCGAACAGGAUUAGAUACCCUGGUAG